CCAAACACCCCCCCUACUCUUUACAACAGGGAUUUCUUCAAGAUCUGUAUCAUUCUGCUCUCACUAUCUCCAUCUUGCUUGCUCUCGCCUCUUGCAACCAUUGUUGCUGUCAGAGGUCUUGAUAACCAGGGUUUGAGAGGAUUCUUACCCGAGGACAUAUCCAAGCUGAGUCAUCUAGAACAUAUGCGACAUGGCCCAGUCUGAUCCGUUUUUUACAUUGCGAAACGAUGCUAGGGGUCAAAGGGGUUUCAGCAAUUUACAAAAAUGUACGUCGGCCAUUCGCCAACUUGCGUACGCUUGCAAAGCUAGGAUGUGAUCGCAGGUGUCACUUCAAGACGUAUGUGAACUUUUGUCAUUAAAUUUACCUGAAAGGCCAAUGAGGUGGUGGUGUAGUGGUAAGUGCGAGACUUGGUGUUCUUAGCAAUGUUUUAAUAACCGGGUUUUAAGUUAUACCGGGUUGGGCUCUAAAAUGGUUCAACAAGUUGAACCGGGUUGUAUCGGACGGUUGAACCGUGUUACUAGUUAACCCUAUAAAUUCCAUAAAAUACAAAUUCAUCUAAAAAACAAUCCAAUCUCA
This 577-nucleotide long non-coding RNA is filed under the name Helianthus annuus (common sunflower). Lineage: Eukaryota; Viridiplantae; Streptophyta; Magnoliopsida; Asterales; Asteraceae. The record is from RNAcentral.